RNAcentral lists this ribosomal RNA (752 nucleotides) under Hadronotus sp. USNM ENT 01223737. RNAcentral's name for it is "partial large subunit ribosomal RNA". It matches the Rfam family "Eukaryotic large subunit ribosomal RNA", at positions 386 to 915 of the family's 3401-position model. Lineage: Eukaryota; Metazoa; Arthropoda; Insecta; Hymenoptera; Scelionidae. The record is from RNAcentral.
UGAGAAACCCGAAAGAUCGAAUGAAGAGAUUCAUCGUUAAUGAAAUUGGCUACCAUGUGAUAUAUGAUGAGUCAAGAUUUAUUUUGAUUUACAUUAUUACUGUGGUUGUGUCCAAUUACGUCGGCGUGCACUUCUCUUCUAGUAGAACGUCGCGACCCGCUGAGUGUCGUUUUAAGGACCGAGAUUGUCGACUAUACCGUCGCUUUUUGUGUUACGUGUAUAGACACUUGGAUUCCCAAUCGACUGCUCGGCGGUAUGUUUAAUGGUAUUGAGCCGCACUUGAAUGCGUUCAGACUUGUUGCAAGCUUGAUCAUAUAUAUGCCUGGAGUGCGGACCUAGUGCCGUCCUAGGCAAUGAUUAGCUGUUGGUUAACAAUGUUCUCGAACUGGCUUAAUUAUGCAAUACAGCAAUACCAGUCAGCGACGCUAUUGCUUUGGGUACUUUCAGGACCCGUCUUGAAACACGGACCAAGGAGUCUAACAUGUACGCGAGUCAUUGGGAUUAUUAAAACCUAAAGGCAUAUUGAAAGAGAAGAUCGGUCUUGUGCCGAUUAAGGGAGGAUAAGUUAAUAAUAAAAUAUAGCUUCGCACUCCCGGGGCGUCUCUUAAAGUCAUUACGACUUGAGGUGCACCCAGAGCGUACACGUUGGGACCCGAAAGAUGGUGAACUAUGCCUGGUCAGGAUGAAGUCAGGGGAAACCCUGAUGGAGGUCCGUAGCGUAUCUGACGUGCAAAUCGAUCGUCGGAACUGGG